Molecule: unclassified non-coding RNA, 639 nt
Filed under: Mucor velutinosus
Lineage: Eukaryota; Fungi; Mucoromycota; Mucoromycetes; Mucorales; Mucoraceae
Description: sequence contains 18S rRNA gene, ITS1, 5.8S rRNA gene, ITS2, 28S rRNA gene
Rfam family: 5.8S ribosomal RNA (bases 253-405)
Source: RNAcentral
UCGUAACAAGGUUUCCGUAGGUGAACCUGCGGAAGGAUCAUUAAAUAAUCAAUAAUUUUGGCUUGUCCAUUAUUAUCUAUUUACUGUGAACUGUAUUAUUACUUGGCGCCUGAGGAAUGUUCCAUUGCUAUAAGGAUAGGCACUGGAAAUGUUAACCGAGCCAUAGUCAAGCUUAGGCUUGGUAUCCUAUUAUUAUUUACCAAAAGAAUUCAGAAUUAAUAUUGUAACAUAGACCUAAAAAAUCUAUAAAACAACUUUUAACAACGGAUCUCUUGGUUCUCGCAUCGAUGAAGAACGUAGCAAAGUGCGAUAACUAGUGUGAAUUGCAUAUUCAGUGAAUCAUCGAGUCUUUGAACGCAACUUGCGCUCAUUGGUAUUCCAAUGAGCACGCCUGUUUCAGUAUCAAAACAAACCCUCUAUCCAACAUUUUUGUUGAAUAGGAUGACUGAGAGUCUCUUGAUCAAUUCUGAUCUUGAAGCUCUUGAAAUAUACAAAGGCCUGAUCUUGUUUGAAUGCCUGAACUUUUUUUUAAUAUAAAGAGAAGCUCUUGCGGUAAACUGUGCUGGGGCCUCCCAAAUAACACAUCUUUAAAUUUGAUCUGAAAUCAGGUGGGACUACCCGCUGAACCUAAGCAUAUCA